GUUAUUGGGAAGCCAGGACCAGGAGGGACAAGCCACUUCUCUGAGAGAUGUCUCCCUGCAGAUCCCCAACCAGGAGGGGCCAGUGGAUCCUGGGGCUUCUCCCUGAACUGCCUCGACAGUGCAAGGUCACACCUGUGCUAGGGCACAGACCCUAGCAGCUGUGGGGCCAGCCACACCCCUGCAGUGUCAGCUCAGCGUGGACCUGAGGACUCCUGCAGUCCUGGCCAGGGGGCCCACUUCCGUCAGGAGGCUCUGCUCUGCGGGGUUUUGUCCUCUGUCUCCGUCUGACAACAUGACUCGGCUCCCUGAAGUUUGAGCGUCAAUUGCUAAAGACAGAGAGACACUCAGCUCCCUCUGGGCAGUGAUGGCCUCCCUGAUGUGUUCUGCCCAGUCUGUUCCUGUCAAGGACAGCUUCUCAUCUGUCAGCCACAUCUAAAACCUCCUGCCGUCAGACCUGAGGACGGGUCCGUCCGGCAGAGCACUUAGAGACCUUACCUUUUAACCAUGGACGUAUCCUGAUGGGUCCCGGAUGAGGAGACUCUGGGUGGACUGCCACUGUGGGUGCUAGGAAAACGGACUCGUCAGGAACCUGCUUGUAGGACGCACCCGCGCGUGCGCACCCACUCGAAGAAGAGAGACGUGAGCAGUGAGGACAGCAACUGCUUAAUAUGGAAAAGGGGAUCCCAAUGAAUGCUUGGACAGAGACGUUGUGGGUGCUGCCAUUUCCAUAGUCAGCCUGACUGGAUUAGAUCACCUGGGCUCAUCUGUAAGGAUGUUUCCAGAAAGCAUUGGCUGAGGAGAGAAACCCCACCCUGAAUGUGGACAGCGCGAUCCUAACGGUGAAUAAGGAAACAAGAAAGUGAGUUGAGCGUCAGUCUUCAUCCUUUGCUUCAUCCUUUACUGACAGUGGUUGUGUUGAGACCAACGGACAAACGGGACAAACAGCCUCACAUUGCUGCUGCCACGCCUCCCCACAGUAGUGUAUGUCCGUCUGCCCACUGUGAGCCAAGGUAAACCCUGUCUUGAGUCGCUUUUGUCGGGUAUCUUGUCACAACCACAGUAACUAACACAGAUACGCGGUGAGACAUUGACAGAAGCAAUGGUGUGCUGAUGGGACUUGCUUCACGACAACGGGAGAGUGUGGCCAUGGCGGUGUUGGCAGCGGCCACCACUUUCAGGAUCUUUCCAUUAUGCUCUGCAUUUGUCUUUCCUUUUUGCUUUUUUGCUUUGUUUAGGUUUUCUCUGUGUAGCCCUAGUUGUCCUGGAACUCACCUGUUCCAGGCCGACCUCAAACUCAGACCCGCCUGCUUCUGCCUCCCGUGUGUUGGGAUUGAAAGUGCACGCCGCCACAGCUGGCUUCCCCCGGUGUUAAUUCUGUGUACGCUCGUGGGCAUGUGCUUGUGUCAGAUCUCUCUGCAGCUGAAGUUACAGGCAGUUGUGAGAGGCCCAUCCUGCGUGCUGGGAACUGAACUCAGGUCCUCUGCAAGAACAGGGCUUGCUUUUAAACACAAAGCCCCUCUCUCCAGCUCCAUUUCUGGUUUUGAAAUUCUCCAUUAAAAAAGUUUUGAAAACCUUAA
This is a long non-coding RNA of Mesocricetus auratus (golden hamster), 1577 nucleotides long. RefSeq lists it as uncharacterized. The transcript is spliced from 3 exons. Lineage: Eukaryota; Metazoa; Chordata; Mammalia; Rodentia; Cricetidae. The record is from RefSeq and is a predicted model, not a curated record.